GAUGAACGCUGGCGGCGUGCCUAAUACAUGCAAGUCGAGCGAACAGACGAGGAGCUUGCUCCUCUGACGUUAGCGGCGGACGGGUGAGUAACACGUGUAUAACCUACCUAUAAUACUGGGAUAACUUCGGGAAACCGGAGCUAAUACCGGAUAAUAUAUUGAACCGCAUGGUUCAAUAGUGAAAUACGGUUUUUCUGUCUCUUAUAGAUGGAUCCGCUCCGCAUUAGCUAGUUGGUAAGGUAACGGCUUACCAAGGCGACGAUGGGUAGCCGACAUGAUAGGGGGAACGGCGACACGGGAACUGAGACACGGACAAGACGACUAAGGGAGGCAGCAGAAGGGAAUAGUACGCAAUGGGCGAAAGAAGGACGGAGCAAAGCCGCGGGAGUGAUGAAGGUCUUAGGAUCGUAAAACUCUGUUAUUAGGGAAGAACAAAAGUGUAAGUAACUAUGCACGUAUUGACGGUAACUAAACAGAAAGCAACGGCUAACUACGUG
RNAcentral lists this ribosomal RNA (497 nucleotides) under uncultured bacterium. RNAcentral's name for it is "partial 16S ribosomal RNA". It matches the Rfam family "Bacterial small subunit ribosomal RNA", at positions 28 to 507 of the family's 1533-position model. The record is from RNAcentral.